This is a long non-coding RNA of Numida meleagris (helmeted guineafowl), 9509 nucleotides long. RefSeq lists it as uncharacterized. The transcript has 3 exons. NCBI's taxonomy places the organism in Eukaryota, Metazoa, Chordata, Aves, Galliformes, Numididae. The record is from RefSeq and is a predicted model, not a curated record.
UGGGUGGAUGGGGACCUUUUUUUUUUUUGCAUUUCAGUUCUUAGGUCUUGGUUAUUUAUAUAUACAUAUAUAUAUAUUUAAAAACUAAGCUGUUAGAUAUAUCUUCUGUUUAAUAACUGUGUAGAGGCAACAUUGAAUCUUAUUUAUUUUGCGGAGGAGGGGGAAAAAAGACACAGCAACCCCGUAAGUGUUCAUCUUGUGACUUUGAGAAAGAAGAAUUGCCGCCUUUUUUCCUCCUCCUCAAGAGUUACGUGACCAAGUGUAACUUAUUCUGGCCCAAGUUCAAAGGUUAAACAAACAAACAAACAAACAAACAAACGUGGUUUUACGCCUGGAAGACAAAACACAGUGAGAAGUACUUCUUGACUGAGAUUUUAAGAAUGUAGGCUUAGCAUUAGUGUUCAGCUCUUUUAUGACCUUCGAUUGCUGCUCGUUGGGUUCCUAUGGGUGUAUGUUGUAUCGCAAGAUUAUUUUUUUUUAAAUGAUAAUGUUGUAUGAGUUCUUUUUUGUUGUUGUUGUCGUCGUUGGUUUUUUUUAAUCAUUUUUCCCCCUUCUCGGACCAGUUUUACUUGUACAUAGGUUUGAAGAUUAAAAAGAAUUUUUAAAGACACAACUGGGGCAAAGACCUUUGACUUUGGCCCCGCUUCCCCAUUCCCCCAAACGGGAGGGAUUUAUUUUGCGUUUCCGUUCUAUUUAUUUAUUUAUUUUCCCUACUCCUAACCUUUUCUCUCGUAUUGCUGUGUGCAUGUCAGACACCAGGGGGUGAUGGCUGGGGAGGGGGGGAGGCAAGGGUGCAGGAGAGGGGGGCAGUUUUAAUUGCAUGACAUUGCUGUAAAUUAGUCUCUUUUGCUUUCGUUGUCUUUCCUGCCUCCGCCCUCUCUCUACUUCUCCUCCGAGCUCCCCUCCCAUCACCCCCGUCCUUCUUUUCCCUCUUUUCUCUUCCCUUGUGUAUAGAUUUUGAUGCUUCUGUUACAUUGUACCUCUACAAAAGGCUGGGAUUUCAAUACAAAAUAAUAAUAAUAAUUUAAAAAUACCUAUAUCAGCAAAACCCACGUGGUACAAGCAGGAAGGGGAUUACUUACACAAGAUAUAAGAAUAAACGAAAGCAAUACCUCUUGUUAUCCUUCCUAUUUUGUACUUUGAAGACACACACACGCGCACACACACAUAUACAGACACAAACUGACGUUAUUUAAUGGUUUAAAAUGGACAACAAAAUCUGAUGUAUCCCUUGUUAAAUAACUGUGAGCAACUUUAGUUCAAAAACCAAUAAAUUCAUUCAGUAAAGAUACGAGCUGUGGCGUGUCCUCUUUGUGUCCGUGAGACGAGCCUCCUCCCCGCGCCGCCCGGCCCGGUAAGUACGGCGGCUCCGCCUCGCGCUGCCUCUAGAGGGCGCUGCUCCCGAACGCCUCGGGGCCUCGAGGCGCCAUUCCCCGCGCGCCCGGCGGGAAGGGGGCGUCACGCGGCGCGGCCGUUGGGCGCGAGGCAGGUCCCUGACGGCCGGAGGAGGGAGGGCGGCGGCUGCACGGAGCAGCUGUAUUAUACGCUGGCAUUUGUACGUGGGCUCCUGGAAGAAGAGCAGGCUGUUUUGAAACAACAUUCCAUUCCUACAGCCUUACCCACUGGGAUUGGAGCACAACGACGAUGGCAGCUUUGUCAGUACUUCACACGGGGUGAAUGGGAGCCUGAUUGGGCUAUAGGUAAAUAAAAGCAGCUAUCUGAGGGCAAGAUGGCACCGCUCUCUUCCCUUCCCUGCCCCUUGCCUUGCACUGAAGUGUAAACUGGUAAGCAUGUGGUGGGGAGGCUGAAUAGCCCGUCCCUUACUGCACAACAGGCUUUGUACUGUUGGUUUUUCCUGGCACCAGUGGUGCUGCUCCUGGGUGGAACAACUGCGGGAGUGCCCCAGCAAGCCCCUUGGAGCAGUAGCCAGAUGAAGAAUUGCAUUCAGAGGAGGCACGGCUCUGUGCUGCUGCUUCCUUGUGGCUGUGUUUAGCUUCUGUUUUGCUUGCUGUGGCUUGGAGCUGCAAGGGACUGAGCUCAGUGCUGGUGGUGGAGGAGCUGAUGCUCAAUUUGAGACCAAACGGUUGCCACAGCCACACUGAGAUAACAGUGGGACGUGGCCAAAAUGGAAUCUGUUUGCUGCUGCGUGAGAUUCCCUGGGCAUAUUUUCUUGUGUUUAUUUAUCUACUAUUUAUCUAUAGCUUGUUUUCCACCAAAGGUCCUGUCCCCUGGGUCAGGAGGGUGACAUGUGGAUGUGGCACCGCAGGGCCACAAUCUGCCUUCCCUGAUUAUCUGCUUUUCGUAGUUAUCAUUUAUUUACAAAGAAUGACUCAGCAGCUGUUGACUUGGCAAAUGCUGCUCUCUGCACCUUAGCCAGGCCUGCAUCCACCUGGCAGCAGGAGAAAAACUCAGAGCUGCCCUCAAGGCUUUGCCAUUGUGGUGUGCAGGGAGCUCUGGGGUCAUGCAGCAGCGGGUCUGGCUGCAGGGAUGGAGCUGCCUCUCAGAAAGGAUGUGCUGCUAGCUGGGUGCUGGUGUGUUUGUAUACCUUUGGCUUUUACUUAUUUCUAAGAGUGGUGUUUGCAGUGCAUGUGUUCUACCUUAUGCGGACCUUCAAGGUGCAGGGGUGCAGCUGGAUGAGGAGGCCUCUAGGAGAGCUGAGGUCUGUUUUGUUCUUCUGAAACCGUUAAUCUUGGUGAUUUUGUCCACCUUAUGUUGUCUUGUUGUCAGCUGCUCUGUGUGGACUAUACGGCCUCAGCAAAGGAUUGUCGCUUACUCUGGGAAUAGCUGUGUGCCCCAGGUGCUUCUGUUCUCCAAAUAAUGAAUAUUGUAAAACAUCUCUUACUUCUUUAUCGCUACACUCAGCAACAGAGAGGGGAAGUUGAGCUUUUGAUGGUGUGGAGCCCGGUAGCUCCUCCUGCAGCAGGCAGCCUGCAGCAUUCCCCACAGCUGCCAAAAGCUGAGCGUGGGAUGCCGUUGCACAGCAAUAGCUGGCCCGGCUCCAGGCUGACGUGCUGCUGACGCACUCCACUGGAUCCAGUGCCCUCGCCCACUGAUUUGCAGGCACUGAAAUAUGCUGCGUGGGGACAGCACUGCCUGCCUUGCUGGAGCUGCCCCAAGAGGAGGUUCUUGUUCAUGGAUUGCGUGCCGAUGUGCUUCCAUUCCACUGGCACUUGCCCCUCCGUGUGCUGCGGCCGCACGUUUCCUGGGGAGCGUGGAGCUCUGUGUAGCCAGCGCAAAGCUCAGCUGGUUGCCAGCAUUAGGGCAUCCCGUGGAGGGGUGCCUACAGGCUGCGUGUGCUCUGCUGCCUGAGUGAGCGCUCAGGGGAAGGAGCAGUGCAGGCAUUCCCAUAGCUAUGGUAUGGGCUGGUACGAUAGCUAUGCCUGAACUGUGUCAUUCGGGCAACCCAGACACAGAACAAUGUUAUGGGAAGGAAGAAUUUAUUGUUGUACCACUUGAUGUUUAGAAAAGGGCCAAGAAUAUCUGUGAUUUAUGCGUUAGUGUUGUGAUUUAACCCAGCAGGCAGCUCAGCACUACUCAGAUGUUUGCUCGCUCUCCCCCUCUAAGUGGGAUGGGGAAGAGAAUCAGGAAAAAAGAAAAGGGGUAGUGAGUUAGGACAGUCGAAGGAUUAACUAUUGCACGGGGCUGGGGUAAGUAAAAUGUAAGGCAAGAUAAGAAAAGGAACUUGGCGAAACUCCAUUAUCAGCAGGGACCAGCACAAGGAACCGGCUGAAGGCGGAGUGACUCUGCAAAGCAGCAGUGGGGUGAAAAGGGCAGAGUGAUGAAGACAUCGAGCCUUCAUCCAACGACCACCAGAAGGGGGGAAGAAGACCUCGAGCCUUCAUCCAACGACCACCAGGAGGAACUACAGCGCAUGCACCGGGGGAGGGACCGUAUGCAAAGGAAUUCCUGGGAAAUGAUGAAUAUGUAGAGGGUCCGGGGAAACCUGCUGAAUAUGUAGAUGUUUCCCAGGAAACCUGCUGAAUAUGUAUAAGCUUGGCUUUUAAAUAUCUAACAUUUCUGCCCAUGGUUAUGCGAGUUUGGUAGGGCGGUGACCCCCUCGCAUCUGGUGUGGGCACAGCACCGUAAUAAAGAUACCUGCUUUAUAACCUAAUCUCGGGUUAUGGAGUUUGAUUCCGCAAAUCAGUAGAACUCACAGGUUGCUCACCCAGUGACUGAUGCCCAGCCAGUCCCAGAGCGGUGGCAGCUCCCCAGUCAGCUCUCCCCAGCAUUUACAGUAUUUUGUGAUAUCACAUGGUGUGGGACGUCUGUUUGGGCAGUUGAGGUCAGCUGUCCCAGUGCUCUCCCCUUCCUGCUCCUUGUGCCACCACAGCCCCCUCGUGGGCAGGACAGCAUGAGAAGCUGAGAUGUCCUUGGCUCAGCGCUGCUCAGCAGUAACUGAAGCAUUGCUGUGUUAUCUGCACUUUUUCUCCUUAAGCCAAAACACAGCAUCACACCAGACACUAUGGAGAAAGUUGACUGUCCCAGCUUAAACUGGGGCAAUUAGAAAAGGCUGAAUAGAUUGAGUUGGUCAGAUCAAUGCAGCAGAGGUAAUGGCAGUGAGUCACAGAAAGGGAACUCGAACAUAUUAAGAGAGGCAGACUGAAUUGUUGUCUCUUCAGCUGGUGGAAAUCUGCGCAAGGUCAUUGGCCUCACUGGGUUAAGCUUUAAAUCUGGCUCUGAAUGAGCAAUAAUUCUGGCUCCAGGUUUCACUUCUGCCUUUGUCCUUUCCCUUUGCUCUUUUGUGUGCCGGGAUAGGUUCAGAGGACAGGAGCUGGCACAGCUGCUGGAUUAUCACACAGUCCCAGGGAAUGCACUCGGGUUUUCCUGACUUAGCUGUCAGCAAGAAGGGAACAGAAUGGUGUUGCUCAGGGAAAAGCUCCUCAGCGGUGUUAGAAUCACAGGGCUCUUGUGGAUUGUUUUUGUGGUUUGUGCUACAUAGGAGUGGAGGGCUGUGACUUGGAGUAUUCCCUUACAAGAUUUAAAAGGAGAAUCUUGUAGAUGAAAGUGGGCUUGCUUUAAACCGGUACCCCUCAGCUCAGCUUGUGUGAUGGCAGUCCCUGUGCAUUUUACACUGCAGAGGAGUGAAAAUGGAAGAAAAUUACUUAGUCUAAGUGUAGCAGUUUUAAGUUUGAUGAGCUCGCUGUAGCUUUUAAUCUUACUUUUAAUAUUGCUGGCAUGUGUGGGCUUGGUUUGGUUGGUAACCCAACCAGGGAUCCUGCUACAGCCAUUUGAAUCGCAUUCAGACCCCUGUCUUCUAGGUUUGUGUGAAACCAGCCAACAGUUCACAUGUUCAGAGUAGGGGGGAAAAAAAAAAAAGAAACAAGCAGAUGGAGUGCUUACUUCAUUGUGAACACCUGGCUUUGAAAAAAAGCCCGUGUUUUCAUGUCGUGGACGAGAAGUUGUUCACCAGCAAAAUGAAACAAUGCUCUUAGAAAGAACCCGAGCUAUUUGUUUGAGGAGCACCUGGAUCAGAAAUGAACGUGAAUCCAGUAAUAACAGUUAAUUAAACUGCUGUAAGAGAUGUUUUAAUCUCUUUCCUCCAGCUGUAGUUUCACUUUUGCCUUCAUCAGGGAGAUUAUAAUGAAGAGCAGAGUGCUUUUAAUCCAAUCAAAAUUCCUGAAUGGAUUGGAGUGUUUGUCCUGCUUUCACAUUUAAGCGGUGGUUACACCACCAGACUAAUUUAGUUCAAGGUUGCUAUCCUGUUACUAAAUUCAGCCCAGCGGCUGGAUGUGGGCAGGAGAAAGGUGAUUCCAGGGUAUCUGUUUUGCUCGGUGGUGUAUGAAGGUCUGUGCAGCAGGGCCAGGUCUCGAGCUGCAGCCCCUAAGCCGGGCAGCCCGGAGCUGCUCAGCAGGGAGGUUCCGGCUGAGCGCCGCUGGGUUUGAAGCGGGGCGGCGGUGCUUUUAAUAGGCAGAUGUGAGCAUUCUGGCUGUGAUACCAGUGUCCCCAGAACUGUUAAAAGGACUUCAAAAAUCAAUGCAUUUCCACCCUUUGCACUCUGUCAUGACACAGGCUGUAGAAUAUUUAAUAUUAGCAUGCAGUUAAACAAAACAAAAACCCCAGGUUAGCCAAGAUGAAGACUGGGGAUGCAUUUCUGUGUUUUGUUGUCUUACCAGAAUUUAGAUUUGAGAAUCAGCUCUUCUGCCUGAGAUACUCCGUCAGUUUGAUGCUUAAGAACAGAGAGAAUAUUUCUUGAAUUGAUUUUUGGAAGCUAAUCCUGUGGAAAUUAGUUUUGUGUUUGAAACUUUGUCAAGUGCAAUCAGGAAGAAAAAAGAAAAGUCAUUAGGAAAACUCAUCUACUCAGAGCUUUCAGGUAUAAGAAACAGUAACAACCUUAUGUUCAGUCCCUGCAGAAAGCAGCAGACUGGAACUCAUAACUGCUGUGUGGCCUUCUGGAGCUGGGUGGGUGUUCCUGCUCUAUGAGUAUGUGGCAUAGAAUUGCUGUGCAGCACUUCUUUAUCAGAAUAAGCACCCACCUUCAACAGCUUGCAUAUCUGCCCUGCUGGGGGAUCCCUGAACUACUUGUUUGGGUCACUGUGCUGGUUAAAAGGCCAAUUUGUUUUCCCUGUUUGGGUUUCCUUUUGCAGUCCUUAAGGGCAGCACCUGCUUUGGGCAUGUCUUAGAAGCCUUCCUAAUGUCAGGUGAAGCGGUGGUUUUUCAGAGAAGCCCAAAUGCUUUGUCAGAUGCCGUUGGAUGUGGUUUAGUGGGCACAGUGGUGAUGGGUUGACAGUUGGACUAGAUUAUCUGAGUGGUCUUUUCCAACCUUAAUGAUUCUGUGAACUUCCUGACUGAGCUGCUGUUGCAGCUCUCCACUGAGCAGAAAGGCUGCCUAGCCCACACGCUUUGUACUCGUUCUUUUGAGUUAUCUGGGGUUCAGAAAAAAGAGGAGUUCUAUGUUAGAGACCUUGCACUACUUUGUGAGAGAAUGUUAGCUGCCCGAGCUGGCAUACAGGAAAGUGGCAGUGCUCAGGGCAUUUUAAUGACUCUCAUAGAUGUAAUGAAAAGAAUUAGCAGAUGGUAAAACUUCAGUGGAGAAGUAAGGAGAUAGAAUACUCCUGAUGUCAGAUUCAAUUCCCUGUCCUUUCUAGCUCAGAGCCAGGAAAGGCUCUCUGGAAAAGAUGAGAGAACUUCCAUUCUGAGUGCUCAGCCACAACAAUUUGUUUUCUCAGAGCCAUGUGCUGACAUCACUUUGAGAAGCCCAAAUGUCACAGCCUGAGUGGUUCUGCUGUUGUCUGUGAAAAGAAUGGAGACCCCCAUUAACACACUGAGGGGGCUUUGCCAGCUGCUUGGUGUCUUUAAUGUCAUUUCAUGGGCUCCAUCUGGUAUAUCAGGGUUUGUUUGUACUGCCUGCAUCAGUAUCAUGUAAAGAUGCCAGAUCUGUCUUGAAACUCCUCAGGUUCUGGGCAAGUAUUUAGGCCCUAGCAGCACAGCUAGCAGCCAUACUGAGCGCUGUGCAGCUAUGACUGCUGCAGGGCCCAAGCAUUAGGAGCAGCUUUACACUGCGUAGCGUUGUCAUUCACAAAUGACAUGACCAGCAUUCUCACGUAGUAGGUUUGGGCAGAAUAAGAUGACCUUUUUCUCUGUCCUUGGUUUAGAUAGUGGAAGAGUAUUUCUGGCUUCUAAUUGUUCUGUUAAUGGAGAACUGAGGAUUGACUAGGGUAAGCUAGAUGGCAGGCAUGAGUGAGGGCUUGUUUGAUGAACUGUGGCUGUGCAAGACCAGUGCACUUAGUAAGCUCUUACAAAGCCGGCUUGUUCUUGCAUGGGAUUACUUGUUUCUCUCAGUCUUCUGCUAAGAUGCAGGAGGAAAUCCUUACCUGACAGCAUCCCCUCUCAGACCCUUGAUCAGUUCCAGCAGCAUUUCAGUGUGGGCAUGUUUGGCUGCAGCGAGGGUACCUCAGAGCCAGAGUUUCUCUCUGUUUAGAUAUGCUCAUCAGAAAAGUGUCCCAUAAGGAGCAAGCUUGAUUUCUCUUAAAAUACAUGGUUAAAAGGUUGUUGCUCAUACAUAAAAUGACAGAGUGCGCUGUGGGAUUUCUGCUUUGGUAACUUACUGCAAUUCUCAAGCAAGAAAGAAGGGAGUAGAGAUGACUUUACUGGGCUGAAGAAAGUGAUGCCCGAUUGAGUUUGUCUUGGGACUUUGUGGAGUGGGCAUGAAGCUGGUCAGGGAACGUAACCGCACAAAACAUAUGUGGGUUUAAUAAAUAAUAAACAUAUUUUUAAGAGAACACCUUUAGUCUGUGAAGGCUUGGACUCACGUUGCUGUAGUUGCAGGCCUGGAAAUUGCGUUAGGGAUUCUACAGUGGCAAGUGUAAAGCUGGGAGUCUGUCUAAUGAGACAAGGCCUUCAAAAGGCAUCUGUGUGGGGGGGGGGGAAUAGCUCAGAAGGUUUCUUCUGGCAGUUUUUGUUUGUAUCUUUAGUCUUAUUUAGCAGCUAUGCAAAAUAGCAUAGCAGUUAAUUGAUCUUUCGGGGAGGAUGGUUUGAACUUGGAAUAAUUAGGUGGUUCUGUUGUUUCAGCAGCACUUCUAUCACUUUACGAAACACCCUUACUUACUUUAAGCAGUUGUGUGACAAUUUUGUGUUAAGAGACCUAAUGCCCUCCUUUAGAUGUGAUGGGAUUUGGGCUCAGUUCUUGUAUUCAGUUUGGCUGCUUGGUGAACUGCCGCAGCCAUAGGCUGUCACUGGUAGGUUUCAGUGGCAUCACCCAGGCUGAGUUUGAAGACUUUGUGACAGUUCUGUACCAUUACGUUAUUACAGUGUAACUCAGUAACCCCUGAAACGUACAUAGUCACUGAGGCUGAUCUUUACAGUAACGCUUACUCCUGGCAAGAAGAAUAUUAAGUAAGUGUUGGCACUUAUUUCAGCGUAUUUCCUUAUUCCCCCUGUUAAAAUCAACAAGGUGGGCCACACUGAAAUAGGACAAUUUCUUUUCUCAUAAGCUGGUUGUAAAAUAUAUAUUAAAAAAAAUACUGUCCUAGAUGAAGCUUCUGUACUUCACAAAUGUAAAAUGUCUGCAGAUAAAACUCAGGACAGCUGCCGUGAACAACACCUGGCUUUUCUAGAUGCAAUGUGGUACGUACUUAUUGUUUUCUUGGUAGCUGAUUUAGUGGUUUGCAGCUUUUCAUCGAGGCAUGGGCUCCUGGGAUACUAGGUUCUGUCAGCCCUUCCUAUGGGUAGAUAAGGUAUGGCUAUUUGAUAGUUAUGACUCUCAGGUUUCAGUUCACAACAUGAAGCUAAAUAGGUUUAGAGAGAGUUGAACUACCACUUGUUCAACUCAACCUUUCCCAAAUGUAUUUCAUUUCUAACUGCCCUUCUUUAAGACUUCUAAUGCAUUUUCACAAAUAGAUAAUCAAUCACCAAAAAUAGUUGGAUUUGGGUUGUUGUACUUGCUCUUUCUUUCUUACAGCGUGCGGUAGAGAUUAAGGUAUGUGCAGGUGGUAAGUACAGGGGCCUUAAAAAUGCUGUUGUGCUGAUAGCUUCCCCUGAUUUCUGAUAAACCAACUGAUGACAAUUUUUCC